CCAGCAGCCGCGGUAAUUCCAGCUCCAAUAGCGUAUAUUAAAGUUGUUGCAGUUAAAAAGCUCGUAGUUGGAUUUCUGGUGGAAGUGACCGGUCUGUCCCUAGUGGAUGUGAACUUGUGUUUACUUUUGCCAUCCUUGGGGAGAGCGUGCCUGGCAUUAGGUUGUCGGGUUCGGGAUCCCCAUCCUUUACUGUGAAAAAAUUAGAGUGUUUAAAGCAGGCUUAUGCCAUUGAAUACAUUAGCAUGGAAUAAUAAGAUAGGACUUUGGUGGUCUAUUUUGUUGGUUUGCACACCAAGGUAAUGAUUAAUAGGGAUAGUUGGGGGUAUCCGUAUUUCGUAGUCAGAGGUGAAAUUCUUGGAUUUACGAAAGACGAACUACUGCGAAAGCAUUUACCAAGGAUGUUUUCAUUAAUCAAGAACGAAAGU
This 425-nucleotide ribosomal RNA is filed under the name uncultured eukaryote. Its description in RNAcentral is "SSU rRNA". It matches the Rfam family "Eukaryotic small subunit ribosomal RNA", at positions 567 to 990 of the family's 1831-position model. The record is from RNAcentral.